UCCCUGAGAAUUCUCGAACAGCU
This 23-nucleotide microRNA is filed under the name Caenorhabditis elegans. RNAcentral describes it as "cel-miR-237-5p". Its record names the gene cel-miR-237-5p. The record is from miRBase by way of RNAcentral. Lineage: Eukaryota; Metazoa; Nematoda; Chromadorea; Rhabditida; Rhabditidae.